ACAGGCUCGGGAUCCCUCGCAGCGCUAGGGGCCGCAGCCCCGGUCGCCGGGGAGUGCCAUGGCAGGGAGGCGGCAGCCACGUGAGGGGUCUGCGGAAGCGCCGGAGCUGAAAGCUGGGGGCGAAGCAUUUUAUUAAUGCUUUUACGAGUUAGAAGAGUUGGGAUAAUUUGCCAUCUGGAGUUUCUCUGCCUUGCUGAUCUGAGCUCAGACCUGCCAAUUUACCAGAGAUAAUUGAUAACACCCUGUAACAGCUGAGAGGAAAAUGGAAGAAACGGAGAUACUUUUAGUGAAGCAGAAUAAACCACUGAACAGGAAAAAUGAGGAAGCUGUGAGUACCAGUGGAAGGAACGAGCCAGGAAGAGGGACUGGAACCAUCUCAGAAGCCAUGCCCCUCAGGCUGGAACUUGCCCUGUCUCCUCGCAGAUGAGCUACCUCUUGUGUUUAAGAAUUAAAGGAAGAUGAGCUAGGAAUCAAGAAAUACGCAGAACUGAUUCCUGUCACUGGCGCCACCCUGCCACUUGCCCAGAGCUGUGGUAUAAAUUUUUUUAAUAGGCUGAAAUAAAAAUAUGAAUAGCAUUUUGGUAUUAAGCAUUAAAUUGAUAAAGGCUAUGAGAUACACCUGCUCUCAACCAUGUUAAUUUUUUAUUAUUGGUAUUAAUAAAUUAUUACUUACUAACAUAUUAACAAGAAUUGCAUUGAGAAACAAAGCAUCCACAGGCCAAAUCUUCUGAAUUUCAAAUGUUUAUAUUAAUGCGUUGUAUUCUAGAAAAGUAGAAUUGUCUUAAGUAGCUUUGUAAUAUAAAGUCAUCUAUCAGCCCAUUACACCUAUUAGAAUGUUUUAACCUUUAUUUCCCACUUUUUUGUUUCUAGACUGAGUGUACUUGGUCUGGUAUUUGUGGCAUAACUUACGGAACACAUAAGAAUGAUACAGAUACUAUUUAAUGAUGACCUAAUACAAGCUUAGAUAGCUAAGGUGAAAGCUUCUAUGGCCUUAACAUUUUCCUCUUGAAGAAUGUAUUUUCUGUAAUAAAAUACAGUGGCUACUUGAAAUCUAUAAACUUAUGUGAGGUCUGGAUAAAUCUGAGCAACUUUCUUCUUUGUGCUCCAGGAACCUACGCACUAUAUAUAUAAAUAAAGCUUAAGUAAACAUCACUGCAAUCUGUGUUUUGUUUGAUUAUAUUAC
This 1183-nucleotide long non-coding RNA is filed under the name Homo sapiens (human). Its description in RNAcentral is "non-protein coding LINC-PINT:59". The record is from RNAcentral. Lineage: Eukaryota; Metazoa; Chordata; Mammalia; Primates; Hominidae.